UACGUAGGGUGCAAGCGUUGUCCGGAAUUAUUGGGCGUAAAGAGCUUGUAGGCGGUUUGUCGCGUCUGCUGUGAAAUUUCGGGGCUCAACCCAGAACUUGCAGUGGGUACGGGCAGACUAGAGUGUGGUAGGGGAGACUGGAAUUCCUGGUGUAGCGGUGAAAUGCGCAGAUAUCAGGAGGAACACCGAUGGCGAAGGCAGGUCUCUGGGCCACUACUGACGCUGAGAAGCGAAAGCAUGGGGAGCGAACAGG
Molecule: ribosomal RNA, 253 nt
Filed under: uncultured bacterium
Lineage: Bacteria
Description: partial 16S ribosomal RNA
Rfam family: Bacterial small subunit ribosomal RNA
Source: RNAcentral